This is a small nucleolar RNA of Otolemur garnettii (small-eared galago), 99 nucleotides long. The record is from Ensembl. Lineage: Eukaryota; Metazoa; Chordata; Mammalia; Primates; Galagidae.
AUCCUUUCAUAGUUCAUAAGCAAGAUGACUGGGUUUUUAUGGGCAUGCAUGAGACAGAUGCAAAUCUUGUUCCGAUGUUGGCACAGUACCCAUCUGACA